This 2957-nucleotide ribosomal RNA is filed under the name Pectobacterium carotovorum subsp. carotovorum ICMP 5702. RNAcentral describes it as "bacterial LSU rRNA". It matches the Rfam family "Bacterial large subunit ribosomal RNA". Lineage: Bacteria; Pseudomonadati; Pseudomonadota; Gammaproteobacteria; Enterobacterales; Pectobacteriaceae. The record is from RNAcentral.
UGCUAAUCUGCGAUAAGCGUCGGUAAGCUGAUAUGAAGCGUUAUACCCGACGAUACCCGAAUGGGGAAACCCAGUGUGUUUCGACACACUAUCAUUAACUGAAUACAUAGGUUAAUGAGGCGAACCGGGGGAACUGAAACAUCUCAGUACCCCGAGGAAAAGAAAUCAACCGAGAUUCCCCUAGUAGCGGCGAGCGAACGGGGUAUGAGGCGAACCGGGGGAACUGAAACAUCUCAGUACCCCGAGGAAAAGAAAUCAACCGAGAUUCCCCUAGUAGCGGCGAGCGAACGGGGAGGAGCCCAGAACCUGAAUCAGUUUGUGUGUUAGUGGAAGCGUCUGGAAAGUCGCACAGUAAAGGGUGAUAGUCCCGUACACAAAAAUGCACAAGUUGUGAGUUCGAUGAGUAGGGCGGGACACGUGACAUCCUGUCUGAAUAUGGGGGGACCAUCCUCCAAGGCUAAAUACUCCUGACUGACCGAUAGUGAACCAGUACCGUGAGGGAAAGGCGAAAAGAACCCCGGCGAGGGGAGUGAAAUAGAACCUGAAACCGUGUACGUACAAGCAGUGGGAGCCUACUUGUUAGGUGACUGCGUACCUUUUGUAUAAUGGGUCAGCGACUUAUAUUCUGUAGCAAGGUUAACCGUAUAGGGGAGCCGCAGGGAAACCGAGUCUUAACUGGGCGUUAAGUUGCAGGGUAUAGACCCGAAACCCGGUGAUCUAGCCAUGGGCAGGUUGAAGGUUGGGUAACACUAACUGGAGGACCGAACCGACUAAUGUUGAAAAAUUAGCGGAUGACUUGUGGCUGGGGGUGAAAGGCCAAUCAAACCGGGAGAUAGCUGGUUCUCCCCGAAAGCUAUUUAGGUAGCGCCUCGUGAAUUCAUCUUCGGGGGUAGAGCACUGUUUCGGCUAGGGGGUCAUCCCGACUUACCAACCCGAUGCAAACUACGAAUACCGAAGAAUGUUAUCACGGGAGACACACGGCGGGUGCUAACGUUCGUCGUGAAGAGGGAAACAACCCAGACCGCCAGCUAAGGUCCCAAAGUCAUGGUUAAGUGGGAAACGAUGUGGGAAGGCACAGACAGCCAGGAUGUUGGCUUAGAAGCAGCCAUCAUUUAAAGAAAGCGUAAUAGCUCACUGGUCGAGUCGGCCUGCGCGGAAGAUGUAACGGGGCUAAACCAUGCACCGAAGCUGCGGCAGCGACACUUAGGUGUUGUUGGGUAGGGGAGCGUUCUGUAAGCCGUCGAAGGUGGCCUGUGAGGGCUGCUGGAGGUAUCAGAAGUGCGAAUGCUGACAUAAGUAACGAUAAUGCGGGUGAAAAACCCGCACGCCGGAAGACCAAGGGUUCCUGUCCAACGUUAAUCGGGGCAGGGUGAGUCGACCCCUAAGGCGAGGCUGAAAAGCGUAGUCGAUGGGAAACAGGUUAAUAUUCCUGUACUCGGUGUUACUGCGAAGGGGGGACGGAGAAAGCUAGGUUAUCCGGGCGACGGUUGUCCCGGUUUAAGCGUGAAGGUGGAUGACUUUGGUAAAUCCGGGUCGUCAUUAACACUGAGGCGUGAUGACGAGUCACUACGGUGAUGAAGUAACCAAUGCUACGCUUCCAGGAAAAGCCUCUAAGCUCCAGGUAACAUCAAAUCGUACCCCAAACCGACACAGGUGGUCAGGUAGAGAAUACUCAGGCGCUUGAGAGAACUCGGGUGAAGGAACUAGGCAAAAUGGUGCCGUAACUUCGGGAGAAGGCACGCUGAUGGUAGGUGAAGUGACUUGCUCAUGGAGCUGAAAUCAGUCGAAGAUACCAGCUGGCUGCAACUGUUUAAUAAAAACACAGCACUGUGCAAACACGAAAGUGGACGUAUACGGUGUGACGCCUGCCCGGUGCCGGAAGGUUAAUUGAUGGGGUCAGCCGCAAGGCGAAGCUCUUGAUCGAAGCCCCGGUAAACGGCGGCCGUAACUAUAACGGUCCUAAGGUAGCGAAAUUCCUUGUCGGGUAAGUUCCGACCUGCACGAAUGGCGUAAUGAUGGCCAGGCUGUCUCCACCCGAGACUCAGUGAAAUUGAACUCGCUGUGAAGAUGCAGUGUACCCGCGGCAAGACGGAAAGACCCCGUGAACCUUUACUAUAGCUUGACACUGAACCUUGAGCCUUGAUGUGUAGGAUAGGUGGGAGGCUUUGAAGCGUGGACGCCAGUCUGCGUGGAGCCAACCUUGAAAUACCACCCUUUAAUGUUUGAUGUUCUAACGUGGACCCGUAAUCCGGGUUGCGGACAGUGUCUGGUGGGUAGUUUGACUGGGGCGGUCUCCUCCCAAAGCGUAACGGAGGAGCACGAAGGUUAGCUAAUCCUGGUCGGACAUCAGGAGGUUAGUGCAAAGGCAUAAGCUAGCUUGACUGCGAGAGUGACAGCUCGAGCAGGUGCGAAAGCAGGUCUUAGUGAUCCGGUGGUUCUGAAUGGAAGGGCCAUCGCUCAACGGAUAAAAGGUACUCCGGGGAUAACAGGCUGAUACCGCCCAAGAGUUCAUAUCGACGGCGGUGUUUGGCACCUCGAUGUCGGCUCAUCACAUCCUGGGGCUGAAGUAGGUCCCAAGGGUAUGGCUGUUCGCCAUUUAAAGUGGUACGCGAGCUGGGUUUAGAACGUCGUGAGACAGUUCGGUCCCUAUCUGCCGUGGGCGUUGGAAGAUUGAGAGGGGUUGCUCCUAGUACGAGAGGACCGGAGUGAACGCACCACUGGUGUACGGGUUGUGAUGCCAAUUGCAUUGCCCGGUAGCUAAGUGCGGAAGAGAUAACCGCUGAAAGCAUCUAAGCGGGAAACUUGCCUCGAGAUGAGUCUUCCCUGGACACUUGAUGUCCCUGAAGGGCCGUUGAAGACGACGACGUAGAUAGGCUGGGUGUGUAAGCGUAGCGAUACGUUGAGCUAACCAGUACUAAUGACCCGAGAGGCUUAACCUUACAACACCGAAGGUGUUU